CAGCCGCCGCGGUAAUACGAAGGGUGCAAGCGUUACUCGGAAUUACUGGGCGUAAAGCGUGCGUAGGUGGUGGUUUAAAUCCGUUGUGAAAGCCCUGGGCUCAACCUGGGAAUUGCAGUGGAUACUGGGUCACUAGAGUGUGGUAGAGGAUAGUGGAAUUUCCGGUGUAGCAGUGAAAUGCGUAGAGAUCGGAAGGAACAUCUGUGGCGAAGGCGACUAUCUGGGCCAACACUGACACUGAGGCACGAAAGCGUGGGGAGCAAACAGGAUUAGAUACCCCUGUAGUCCCUGUCUCUUAUAC
RNAcentral lists this ribosomal RNA (301 nucleotides) under uncultured bacterium. RNAcentral describes it as "partial 16S ribosomal RNA". It matches the Rfam family "Bacterial small subunit ribosomal RNA", at positions 509 to 807 of the family's 1533-position model. The record is from RNAcentral.